AGGGUUGAGAUGGUGUGUGGCCUGCAGAGCCUAAAAUGUUUGCUCCCCGGCCCUUUACAGAAAAUGUUUGCUGACUCCUGCAGAGACAGUAUGAGGAAGACCUGCGGAAAGACGCUGCUGGCCGCGCUCAGGAGUCCGGCUUCACCGGGCCAGGAGCUGCUGAAAGGCCUAGAGGACCAGGCAGGGAGCAGAAAAGAAUCCGGAGCAAGCAGCCGCUGCCCUAGAUCUCGGCUGUCAUCCGUGUUUCCAGGGGCUACGAAAUGGAGCGAGCACAGGCGAGAUUUGAGUUCAAAUUCCAGCUUCUUCAUUCACCAGCUGAGUGACCUUAGGAAAGUCCCCUCUGGGAUUUCCCGCGCAGCCACAGACAGCUGCAGGAUAAUCUGGGGAGAUUUUUGAAGUCGAGCAGAAGGAACACGUGAACAUCGACUGAAAUUCUCGUUGUUUUUAACGGCACUGAGUCUACUGGCGUGUUGAUCAAAGCGAGUUGUACAAAUUCAGGGGAGAGAGACCCAUUUUGUUCGAAUGACAGCAAAUCACAUUUGAACUCGAGCAAAUUUAAUUUUCUGUUCCAGCUCAAUAUUUCCAGCAAAGAUUUUGAGAAACAAAAUUGGAUUUUCAGUGAUGGGGAUACAUUUUAACACAUGCCACAGCUGGGUGGAUUCAACCUGUUGCAUCGAAGUUGCUAUUUCCUGGCCACGCUGAAGAGCAAAAUCUGGAACUCACAGUGUAUAUGAACCCCAGAAGAGAAAUAGACCCGUUAGCACUGGGCCAGGCGGAGAGGGCUUAGCCAAGGCCUUGAAGCACUUUAUUCCCAGGGACUGAGGACCACUGAGUUGGGAGAAAUGAUGACCCAGCUCUCAGAAAUAUAGACUUUUGAGCUAGAAGAGAUUUGAGACAUCACCUAGAGUGUCUAGGGAUCCCUAAAACGUGGGCCAGGAGAUGGUUUUAAUAGCACGAGAAGAACUCAGCGAUAAAUAACUGACUCCCCCUAUGAAGAAAGGUAUUCCCUUUUCAAUUACCCUUUUCUCUACAUCAGAGAGAGUCUCCAGCCCCAGUUCUUUAAUGCUCAGUGGUGAACCAACAGACCUUGGAUGCACUGGUGACAGUAUCAGGCUAGAAUUUUAAAACCUUGUAUCCUUUUGUUUAUAGACCAGGACGCCUGCAAAUGUUUUCCGUAAAGCGCC
Long non-coding RNA from Equus caballus (horse), 1184 nucleotides. Lineage: Eukaryota; Metazoa; Chordata; Mammalia; Perissodactyla; Equidae. The record is from Ensembl.